AACUUUCAACAACGGAUCUCUUGGUUCUGGCAUCGAUGAAGAACGCAGCGAAAUGCGAUAAGUAAUGUG
RNAcentral lists this ribosomal RNA (69 nucleotides) under Cladonia rangiformis. RNAcentral describes it as "partial 5.8S ribosomal RNA". It matches the Rfam family "5.8S ribosomal RNA", at positions 1 to 69 of the family's 154-position model. Rfam says of the family: 5.8S ribosomal RNA (5.8S rRNA) is a component of the large subunit of the eukaryotic ribosome. It is transcribed by RNA polymerase I as part of the 45S precursor that also contains 18S and 28S rRNA. Functionally, it is thought that 5.8S rRNA may be involved in ribosome translocation. Lineage: Eukaryota; Fungi; Ascomycota; Lecanoromycetes; Lecanorales; Cladoniaceae. The record is from RNAcentral.